RNAcentral lists this long non-coding RNA (301 nucleotides) under Androctonus crassicauda. The record is from RNAcentral. Lineage: Eukaryota; Metazoa; Arthropoda; Arachnida; Scorpiones; Buthidae.
CAGGAAAUACUCAAGUUAUAGAAGGAUUGCGUUCAAAAGUUUGUCAUAAUUCAAAUUCAUCAUACUCACAAGUCAGAACAUGAUUUUUCCAUAGGCACAAUGCUACAAAUGGUGGUCAGGCUCUUUCUCAUUUCCCAACCACCAAAACUUAGAAUAUUCAAUAUAUUUUUAAAAUCCAGUAGUAAAUGCUAUUUAUUCUUUGAAAUGAGAAAAAUAUAUAUUUCAUGCCUACCAGCACUCUAUGCAAAAAAAAUAAAGAAAAUACUUUAUAAAAACAAAGUUGGAAUACAAGGAAUCCAUG